CCGGCGCACGGGUGAGUAACACGUAUGCAACCUGCCUGCCACAGCCGGAUAAUCGGGAGAAAUUCCGCCUAAUACGGCAUAAUGCAUCGACGGGACAUCCUGUUGGUGCCAAAGGUUAAUUCCGGUGGCGGAUGGGCAUGCGUCGCAUUAGUUAGUUGGCGGUGUAACGGACCACCAAGACGACGAUGCGUAGGGGUUCUGAGAGGAAGGUCCCCCACACUGGUACUGAGACACGGACCAGACUCCUACGGGAGGCAGCAG
RNAcentral lists this ribosomal RNA (261 nucleotides) under uncultured bacterium. Its description in RNAcentral is "partial 16S ribosomal RNA". It matches the Rfam family "Bacterial small subunit ribosomal RNA", at positions 95 to 354 of the family's 1533-position model. The record is from RNAcentral.